This 253-nucleotide ribosomal RNA is filed under the name uncultured bacterium. RNAcentral describes it as "partial 16S ribosomal RNA". It matches the Rfam family "Bacterial small subunit ribosomal RNA", at positions 524 to 776 of the family's 1533-position model. The record is from RNAcentral.
UACGGAGGGGGCAAGCGUUGUUCGGAAUUACUGGGCGUAAAGGGCUCGUAGGCGGCCAGCUAAGUCGGAUGUGAAAUCCCCAGGCUUAACCUGGGAACUGCAUCCGAUACUGGAUGGCUUGAAUCCGGGAGAGGGAUGCAGAAUUCCAGGUGUAGCGGUGAAAUGCGUAGAUAUCUGGAGGAACACCGGUGGCGAAGGCGGCAUCCUGGACCGGCAUUGACGCUGAGGCGCGAAAGCCAGGGGAGCAAACGGG